GAUGAACGCUGGCGGCGUGCCUAAUACAUGCAAGUCGAGCGAACAGACGAUGAGCUUGCUCCUCUGACGUUAGCCGCGGACGGGUGAGUAACACGUGGAUAAUCUACCUAUAAGACUGGGAUAACUUCGGGAAACCGGAGCUAAUACCGUAUAAUAUAUUGAACCGCAUGGUUCAAUAGUGAAAGACGGUUUUGCUGUCACUUAUAGAUGGAUCCGCGCCGCAUUAGCUAGUUGGUAAGGUAAAGGCUUACCACGGCAACGAUGCGUAGCCGACCUGAGAGGGUGAUAGGCCACACGGGAGCUGAGACACGGUCCAGACUCCUACGGGAGGCAGCAGUAGGGAAUCUUCCGCAGUGGGCGAAAGCUUGACGGAGCAACGCGGCGUGAGUGAUGAAGGUCUUCGGAUCGUAAAACUCUGUUAUUAGGGAAGAACAAAUGUGUAAGUAACUAUGCACGUCUUGACGGUACCUAAUCAGAAAGCCACGGCUAACUACGUG
RNAcentral lists this ribosomal RNA (497 nucleotides) under uncultured bacterium. RNAcentral's name for it is "partial 16S ribosomal RNA". It matches the Rfam family "Bacterial small subunit ribosomal RNA", at positions 28 to 507 of the family's 1533-position model. The record is from RNAcentral.